CAGUCGUCAGGCAGGACAGACGUCCUGGGAGUUCUCAGCUCAGCAGGAGUUAUUUUCACGUAGAAGACAUGCUGCAUUCCCUUACUCCAGGCGAGUCCACACUCUAAAAACCCGGGCAAAUUCACACAUGUUGGGUUGCAUGGUGCAAGCUUUUGUAAAAGACAUUUCAAGAACAAGAAGGUUUCACGGCUUGUGCCUGCUCAUGCGCAAGACUUCAAAUUUAACUGAAAAAGGCUGUUUUGGCGCCAAGCUACUGUUUCUUUGAGAGAUCCUGCCUUUACCUGCUCCCUCCUAUACUGAUGUGGUGUAUGUGGUAUUGCUGAGCUUGUAUGUGGUGGAAGCAGAAUAUGUGAGGAUUACUACUGCUGCACAUGUUCCAAGGCUUUUUACACAACUUGACCAAUACACUGACCAGCUCAUAAAAGUCUUCAAGAAAAAAGGAGGCGUUGCAGGGAAGAAAAUUAGACAAACUUUGGCCCCAGCCACACAGAAGGAAAGUAUUGAAAAGGGGAGGGAGUGUGUCCUCAGGGCACUACCUUUUUACCUGAAUGAAGACCCAAGCAUCCUCUUCAAAGAAUAAUUGCUACAGCUGUUCAGAGGGAGCUGGAACAAAUUACCCUUGCUAUCUUUACCAUCGAAAGAGCUGAUGCCAGCACUCCUCCAGCCGAUGUGGGUAUAACCAUCUAGUGUGUCCUGGAAGACCUGGCCUCUGCAUGUGCACUCUUAAUGGGUGGGAUAUAUGCACUGAAUCUCAGUUAACCUCAAGACUGAAAGCUUUCUUUGAAGUACUUCAGAAGCUCUUCCUUCAUCUGUAUGUCAGCAUACUCUUGACCAAGGUACAGUUGCUCAAGAAUACACUGAAUGAAUAAGCCAACCUUUAAUUUGGAUGAUGAAUGUUCUGUCAGAUGGACAGAAGUUUUUCGGAGGCUGAAUGGGAAUAAAAUGGUAAUUUGUAAAUGACAGAUAACGGGAAAAUUACAUUUAAGAGAAAUUUAGAACAUUUUGAAAAGUUUGUAAACUACUACAAUUUGAGAGAUUUUACUGUUGUGGGGGGCUAGUAAGAGACAAUCAAAAGUAUUGAGAUUUAAAGGAUUUAAUUGAGAGAUGAUACUGCACCAGAAAUGUUGAAGGGUGGUGUGUAUAUUAGCGUUCAAGG
Long non-coding RNA from Astatotilapia calliptera (eastern happy), 1156 nucleotides. Lineage: Eukaryota; Metazoa; Chordata; Actinopteri; Cichliformes; Cichlidae. The record is from Ensembl.